AGAUGAAGCUGUCAAUCAGACGGGGCUGUCAAUCAGAUGGGGCUGUCAAUGGGACAGAGGUGUCAAUCGGACAGGGCCGUCAAUCGGAGUCAUCAUCAAGAUGUAGCUGUCAAUCAGACGGGGCUGUCAAUCAGAUGGGGCUGUCAAUCAAAUGGGGCUGUCAAUCAGACAGAGCUGUCAAUCGGACAGGGCCGUCAACCGGAGUUAUCAGCAAGAUGAAGCUGUCAAUCAGAUGGGGCUGUCAAUCAGAUGGGGCUGUCAAUCGGACAGAGGUGUUAAUAGGACAGGGCCGUCAAUCAGAGUCAUCAUCAAGAUGACAUUGUCAAUCAGAUGGGGCUGUCAAUGGGACAGAGGUGUCAAUCGGACAGGGCCAUCAAUCGGACAGGGCCGUCAACCGGAGUCAUCAUCAAGGUGAAGCUGUCAAUCAAUCACAUUGGGCUGUCAAUUGGACAGAGGGGUCAAUGGGACAGAGGUGUCAAUCGGACAGGGCCAUCAAUUGGAGUUAUCG
RNAcentral lists this long non-coding RNA (508 nucleotides) under Numida meleagris (helmeted guineafowl). Its description in RNAcentral is "lncRNA (ENSNMEG00000004834.1)". The record is from RNAcentral. Lineage: Eukaryota; Metazoa; Chordata; Aves; Galliformes; Numididae.